UACGGAGGGGGCGAGUGUUGUUCGGAAUUACUGGGCGUAAAGGGCGCGCAGGCGGCCUGGCAAGUCGCGUGUGAAAUCCCCCGGCUUAACUGGGGAAUGGCGCUCGAAACUACCGCGCUGGAGGGCGGGAGAGGGAAGUGGAACUCUCGGUGUAGGGGUGAAAUCUGUAGAUAUCGAGAGGAACACCGGUGGCGAAGGCGGCUUCCUGGCCCGUACCUGACGCUGAGGCGCGAAAGCGUGGGGAGCAAACAGG
Molecule: ribosomal RNA, 253 nt
Filed under: uncultured bacterium
Lineage: Bacteria
Description: partial 16S ribosomal RNA
Rfam family: Bacterial small subunit ribosomal RNA
Source: RNAcentral